UGGGGAAUAUUGGACAAUGGGGGCAACCCUGAUCCAGCCAUGCCGCGUGAAUGAUGAAGGCCUUCGGGUUGUAAAGUUCUUUUGCAGGGGACGAUGAUGACGGUACCCUGAGAAUAAGCUCCGGCUAACUUCGUGCCAGCAGCCGCGGUAAUACGAAGGGAGCUAGCGUUGUUCGGAAUUACUGGGCGUAAAGGGCGCGUAGGCGGCUCGACAAGUUGGAUGUGAAAGCCCAGGGCUCAACCCUGGAAUUGCAUUCAAGACUGUCUUGCUUGAAUUCGGUAGAGGUGAGUGGAAUUCCCAGUGUAGAGGUGAAAUUCGUAGAGAUUGGGAAGAACACCGGUGGCGAAGGCGGCUCACUGGACCGACAUUGACGCUGAGGCGCGAAAGCGUGGGGAGCAAACAGGAUUAGAUACCCCCGUAGUCC
This 424-nucleotide ribosomal RNA is filed under the name uncultured bacterium. Its description in RNAcentral is "bacterial SSU rRNA". It matches the Rfam family "Bacterial small subunit ribosomal RNA", at positions 355 to 796 of the family's 1533-position model. The record is from RNAcentral.